This 793-nucleotide long non-coding RNA is filed under the name Cucumis sativus (cucumber). RNAcentral's name for it is "long non-coding RNA (CSAT_LNC002859)". Lineage: Eukaryota; Viridiplantae; Streptophyta; Magnoliopsida; Cucurbitales; Cucurbitaceae. The record is from RNAcentral.
AAAUCAGGGUGGUAUGAAAUGGCCACACUACCUGACUUGGUAGAGGCCUUAACAACUCUCAUAUGGACAGCAACUGGACUCCAUGCUGCUGUGAAUUCAGGGCAAUAUGCAUACGCCAGCUACCCUCUUAAUCGUCCCACACUCUGUUACAAGUUCAUUCCCAGUGAAGGAACAGUUGAAUAUGCUGAAUUCUUGAGUGAUCCAGAUAAAUAUUAUCUCGAAAUGAUACCUGGAAAGUUUGAAACUGCACUUGCCGCUGCAUUGACAGAGGUCCUUUCACAUCACGCAAUGGAUGAACUGUACCUGGGAAGGUCAUCCUACAACUGGACAGAUAAUGCAAAGGCUCGACAUAGCUUCAGUGAGUUCAGUAAAGAACUUAAAAAUAUAGAGAAUAGAAUAGAAGAAAGAAAUCGAGAUCCCAACCGCAAGAACAGAAGUGGACCCGCCAAGAUACCGUACAAACUUUUGUUGCCUGAUACAUCAAAUUUUAUUCCAAAAGGAGGGAUCCGAGGUAAAGGGAUUCCAAACAGCAUAUCUAUAUGAUGCAGUCUCAUGAAAUUACUUUAAAAUUACUUUCAAUCAGAAAUAUGAGCAAGACCAUUCAUUAAUCAUUCACCUUUUCUAAAUAUGAGAACGAGAAAUCUGCUACCUAAUUACUCUAUGUUAUUGCAGACCCUAAACAAAUAAAUCAACCAAGGGUGAGUUUGGGAUAACUAUUGGGAGGGUGAAAAGUACUUUUGUCCCAAUAUACUUUUCAAAAUUUUCAAUUGGUUAGACAACUAGAAGUAACGUA